Molecule: long non-coding RNA, 530 nt
Filed under: Pan troglodytes (chimpanzee)
Lineage: Eukaryota; Metazoa; Chordata; Mammalia; Primates; Hominidae
Description: long non-coding RNA NONPTRT006697
Source: RNAcentral
ACCCAGAAAAGAUAAAAGGUUUGGACAAAAUCACACAGCAGGUUAGGGUGGAGCCUGGACCAGAAGCCCAGACCCCAAUCCAAUUCUUUUUCUGCUUCCUCAUUCUCUCUGUACUCACUUAGUCACUGUGGGUCUCACUCUUCCCUUCUGUACAAUGGGGAUGAUCACACAUUCCUUCCCACUCUCAAGGUGGGAGCUCUCCACAGGAAGCAGACAAAGCAGGGUGAGAUCAAGCAGGAUCGCAGCUGUGCCCUUGCCUUAAGAGACAUAAGAAUGAGAGGAAGAGAGGAGGGGAGAUGGAAGGGCUGGAGUGAUCAAGGCAGUAGCCCGGCAGGAGAUGGGGCAGAGCUGAGCUUGGAAGGAUGGAUAGGAUUUGAAUCAAUGGAAAUGAGUUGGCCAGGGAGAGGACAUGGGCAGAAGUAGGCACUGGUGAGUGGGUGAGUCGGGCUGGAGUGAAGAGACCACAAAGAUAAAGCUUAUAAGAUGACAGCAAGAAUGAGGGCGGAAAAGAGAAAAAGAAAUUUAAAAAA